AGCGAACGCUGGCGGCGUGCUUAACAUAUGCAAGUCGAGCGAGAAAGGGGGCUUCGGCCCCUGAGUACAGCGGCGAACGGGUGCGUAAUACAUGAGCAAUCUACCCUUGAGGCGGGAAUAACCCAGCGAAAGUUGGGCUAAUACCGGAUAAGACCACAAGAGGAAACCCUAGAGGUCAAAGGCAGCUCUCUUUUGGGGGGCGGCCCUUCGAGGAGGAGCUCAUGUCCUAUCAGCAGUUGGUAGGGUAACGGCCUACCAAGGCGAAGACGGGUAGCUGGUCUUAGAGGAUGAUCAGCCACACGGGGACUGAGACACGGCCCCGACUCCUACGGGAGGCAGCAGUGGGGAAUAUUGGGCAAUGGGCGAAAGCCUGACCCAGCGACGCCGCGUGGGUGAUGAAGGCCUC
RNAcentral lists this ribosomal RNA (406 nucleotides) under uncultured bacterium. Its description in RNAcentral is "bacterial SSU rRNA". It matches the Rfam family "Bacterial small subunit ribosomal RNA", at positions 29 to 418 of the family's 1533-position model. The record is from RNAcentral.